GGGGAUCUAGCUCAAAUGGUAGAGCGCUCGCUUAGCAUCUGAGAGGUACUGGGAUUAAUGCCCAGGUCCUCCA
This 73-nucleotide transfer RNA is filed under the name Lingula anatina. It matches the Rfam family "tRNA". Rfam says of the family: Transfer RNA (tRNA) molecules are approximately 80 nucleotides in length. Their secondary structure includes four short double-helical elements and three loops (D, anti-codon, and T loops). Further hydrogen bonds mediate the characteristic L-shaped molecular structure. tRNAs have two regions of fundamental functional importance: the anti-codon, which is responsible for specific mRNA codon recognition, and the 3' end, to which the tRNAs corresponding amino acid is attached (by aminoacyl-tRNA synthetases). tRNAs cope with the degeneracy of the genetic code in two manners: having more than one tRNA (with a specific anti-codon) for a particular amino acid; and 'wobble' base-pairing, i.e. permitting non-standard base-pairing at the 3rd anti-codon position. The record is from Rfam by way of RNAcentral. Lineage: Eukaryota; Metazoa; Brachiopoda; Lingulata; Lingulida; Lingulidae.